GUUUUUUCUCSUGUCUCAGGAAAAACGGGGGGGGUGUUUUUAACACAUAAAAGUAGAAGGAAAAGCCUUUUUGGGGGGUUCAAGAGGGGAAAGGGGGAGUGACACACGAGUGAUUUUUCCCCGACUCUUGGAGAUACACCGGGAAAAGUGGUUUAAACCCGGUAUGUCCACUCCUCGCACAGGGUGGGGGUGGAAAAGUUUUUCGGUGCAGGAUGAGCUCGCGGCCUAUCAGCUUGUUGGUGGGGUAAUGGCUCACCAAGGCGACGACGGGUAGCCGGCCUGAGAGGGUGACCGGCCACACUGGGACUGAGACACGGCCCAGACUCCUACGGGAGGCAGCAGUGGGGAAUAUUGCACAAUGGGCGAAAGCCUGAUGCAGCGACGCCGCGUGAGGGAUGACGGCCUUCGGGUUGUAAACCUCUUUCAGCAGGGACGAAGCGCAAGUGACGGUACCUGCAGAGAUGCCCG
RNAcentral lists this ribosomal RNA (468 nucleotides) under uncultured Rhodococcus sp. RNAcentral describes it as "partial 16S ribosomal RNA". It matches the Rfam family "Bacterial small subunit ribosomal RNA", at positions 1 to 494 of the family's 1533-position model. Lineage: Bacteria; Bacillati; Actinomycetota; Actinomycetes; Mycobacteriales; Nocardiaceae. The record is from RNAcentral.